CUCUCUUCCUUAGAGUUUGAUCCUGGCUCAGGAUGAACGCUAGCUACAGGCUUAACACAUGCAAGUCGAGGGGAAACGACAUCGAAAGCUUGCUUUUGAUGGGCGUCGACCGGCGCACGGGUGAGUAACGCGUAUCCAACCUGCCCACCACUUGGGGAUAACCUUGCGAAAGUAAGACUAAUACCCAAUGACGUCUCUAGAAGACAUCUGAAGGAGAUUAAAGAUUUAUCGGUGAUGGAUGGGGAUGCGUCUGAUUAGCUUGUUGGCGGGGUAACGGCCCACCAAGGCGACGAUCAGUAGGGGUUCUGAGAGGAAGGUCCCCCACAUUGGAACUGAGACACGGUCCAAACUCCUACGGGAGGCAGCAGUGAGGAAUAUUGGUCAAUGGGCGAGAGCCUGAACCAGCCAAGUAGCGUGCAGGAUGACGGCCCUAUGGGUUGUAAACUGCUUUUAUAAGGGAAUAAAGUGAGUCUCGUGAGACUUUUUGCAUGUACCUUAUGAAUAAGGACCGGCUAAUUCCGUGCCAGCAGCCGCGGUAAUACGGAAGGUCCGGGCGUUAUCCGGAUUUAUUGGGUUUAAAGGGAGCGUAGGCCGGAGAUUAAGCGUGUUGUGAAAUGUAGAUGCUCAACAUCUGCACUGCAGCGCGAACUGGUUUCCUUGAGUACGCACAAAGUGGGCGGAAUUCGUGGUGUAGCGGUGAAAUGCUUAGAUAUCACGAAGAACUCCGAUUGCGAAGGCAGCUCACUGGAGCGCAACUGACGCUGAAGCUCGAAAGUGCGGGUAUCGAACAGGAUUAGAUACCCUGGUAGUCCGCACGGUAAACGAUGGAUGCCCGCUGUUGGUCUGAAUAGGUCAGCGGCCAAGCGAAAGCAUUAAGCUUCCCACCUGGGGAGUACGCCGGCAACGGUGAAACUAGAGUUUAAGGACGGAAGGGCG
This 936-nucleotide ribosomal RNA is filed under the name uncultured bacterium. RNAcentral's name for it is "bacterial SSU rRNA". It matches the Rfam family "Bacterial small subunit ribosomal RNA", at positions 1 to 923 of the family's 1533-position model. The record is from RNAcentral.